GCGAUAAGCGCCGGUAAGGUGAUAUGAACCGUUAUAACCGGCGAUACCCGAAUGGGGAAACCCAGUGUGAUUCGUCACACUAUCAUUAACUGAAUCCAUAGGUUAAUGAGGCGAACCGGGGGAACUGAAACAUCUAAGUACCCCGAGGAAAAGAAAUCAACCGAGAUUCCCCCAGUAGCGGCGAGCGAACGGGGAGGAGCCCAGAGCCUGAAUCAGCAUGUGUGUUAGUGGAAGCGUCUGGAAAGGCGCGCGAUACAGGGUGACAGCCCCGUACACAAAAGCGCAUGUGCUGUGAGCUCGAUGAGUAGGGCGGGACACGUGGUAUCCUGUCUGAAUAUGGGGGGACCAUCCUCCAAGGCUAAAUACUCCUGACUGACCGAUAGUGAACCAGUACCGUGAGGGAAAGGCGAAAAGAACCCCGGCGAGGGGAGUGAAAAAGAACCUGAAACCGUGUACGUAC
This 460-nucleotide ribosomal RNA is filed under the name Salmonella enterica subsp. enterica serovar Newport. RNAcentral describes it as "partial 23S ribosomal RNA". It matches the Rfam family "Bacterial large subunit ribosomal RNA", at positions 68 to 567 of the family's 2925-position model. The record is from RNAcentral. Lineage: Bacteria; Pseudomonadati; Pseudomonadota; Gammaproteobacteria; Enterobacterales; Enterobacteriaceae.